GAUGAACGCUGGCGGCGUGCCUAAUACAUGCAGGUCGAGCGAACGGACGAGAAGCUUGCUUCUCUGAUGUUAGCGGCGGACGGGUGAGUAACACGUGGAUAACCUACCUAUAAGACUGGGAUAACUUCAGGAAACCGGAGCUAAUACCGGAUAAUAUUUUGAACCGCAUGGUUCAAAAGUGAAAGACGGUCUUGCUGUCACUUAUAGAUGGAUCCGCGCUGCAUUAGCUAGUUGGUAAGGUAACGGCUUACCAAGGCAACGAUGCAUAGCCGACCUGAGAGGGUGAUCGGCCACACUGGAACUGAGACACGGUCCAGACUCCUACGGGAGGCAGCAGUAGGGAAUCUUCCGCAAUGGGCGAAAGCCUGACGGAGCAACGCCGCGUGAGUGAUGAAGGUCUUCGGAUCGUAAAACUCUGUUAUUAGGGAAGAACAUAUGUGUAAGUAACUGUGCACAUCUUGACGGUACCUAAUCAGAAAGCCACGGCUAACUACGUG
RNAcentral lists this ribosomal RNA (497 nucleotides) under uncultured bacterium. RNAcentral describes it as "partial 16S ribosomal RNA". It matches the Rfam family "Bacterial small subunit ribosomal RNA", at positions 28 to 507 of the family's 1533-position model. The record is from RNAcentral.